UGGGGAAUAUUGGACAAUGGGCGCAAGCCUGAUCCAGCCAUGCCGCGUGUGUGAAGAAGGCCUUCGGGUUGUAAAGCACUUUCAGCGAGGAGGAAGGGAGUUGUGUUAAUAGCACAGCUUCUUGACGUUACUCGCAGAAGAAGCACCGGCUAACUCUGUGCCAGCAGCCGCGGUAAUACAGAGGGUGCAAGCGUUAAUCGGAAUUACUGGGCGUAAAGCGCACGUAGGCGGUUUUUAAGUCAGAUGUGAAAGCCCCGGGCUCAACCUGGGAAUUGCAUUUGAAACUGGCAAGCUAGAGUUGGGUAGAGGGGAGUGGAAUUUCAGGUGUAGCAGUGAAAUGCGUAGAGAUCUGGAGGAACACCGAUGGCGAAGGCAGCCCCCUGGGCUAACACUGACGCUCAUGCACGAAAGCGUGGGGAGCAAACAGGAUUAGAUACCCCGGUAGUCCCUGAGCGGGC
RNAcentral lists this ribosomal RNA (458 nucleotides) under uncultured bacterium. RNAcentral describes it as "bacterial SSU rRNA". It matches the Rfam family "Bacterial small subunit ribosomal RNA", at positions 355 to 804 of the family's 1533-position model. The record is from RNAcentral.